Molecule: long non-coding RNA, 981 nt
Filed under: Mytilus galloprovincialis (Mediterranean mussel)
Lineage: Eukaryota; Metazoa; Mollusca; Bivalvia; Mytilida; Mytilidae
Source: RNAcentral
AUAAGGCCAGAAUUUUUUAAUUUGUUGGUUUACGGAUCCGCCGACCCGAUUUUGCCGAUUUUCAGAAUAAAAAUAAAAUUGACUUUCAUGCUUUUUUAUUCCCGCCGACCUUAACAAAUGCAUUAUCCCUGAAAAAUAAUUAAACAAUCUUUUUUUUUAUGAAAUGAAAUGCUUUAAUCACUAACAAAAUUGAUAACACUUUCUGUAGUGAAAAAAUAAAACUUCCAGUUUACGUUUCUAACAAUUGACAAAUCAAUUAUAAAUGACCUUGAAAUGUCGUUUGCGCAAAUAAUUUUUGCGAAACGAAACCUGUGUUUAAAACCAACUACACAAUGAGUUCGUUUCCCGUAUUUGUAAUCAGUCCGUAAGAUGCAUCAUCUGAUAGAAAUAGACUUGUCCAAAUGUACACAGGUGGAAGACAUCAAGUUAAAGUACUGAAUAUUAGAUAAUCAUUUUGAAUUUUCUUGUUUUAUAGAUAAUAAAAAAAUAUCGUCCAUUUGGACAUGUUGGAUAAAAAACGGGAAUGCAUGACAACAGAUUAACCCGAUAUUCUCGUUUUUCCAGUGGACGAGUCUAUUUCGUUUUUGACACGUGUGUUGAAACUUAUUUUCGUACGACGUUUUUACAUUUUUUUCUUAAUCAGUUUUCGUGCUUGAAGAUCAUACUUCAACAAGUUUUCUGGAGUUGAUAAAGAGCUACGCGAAUCUGUUUUUCUUGUUUGUGAAAUGACAAUUUAAUUUCGUCUUUUCCGUGCAUCCCCCCUUUUUGUACGGAAAAUUAUUAGAAUGUCAUGCGAUGUUUAUGACAGCUGAGCAAUACAAAAUAGCAUAACAAACAUAUUGUCAGAAAGGUGAAAUAUAUAUUUAUUUGCAUAUUUUUCUGUCUUGAAAGAUAUUUUUUUUCUUUUUUUUCCCCGACCGACCGACCCGACUUUUUCAUGGGGAAAAUCCGUAAACCAACAAAUUAAAAAACCCUGGCCUA